GUCCGAAAAAAUGGUUCCGUUCGCCAGAAAUGUACUGCAAAAAGUCUAUUUUCGAAAAAGAAAAUUUGUUCCACAAUUUUUCAUACCCAAUCAUGUAUGAUAACUGACAAGCCCGAAAAACGAAAAGCGAGCGGAUUGACACAAGGGACUAUACUAUUACGGCAG
Molecule: long non-coding RNA, 165 nt
Organism: Bradysia coprophila
Lineage: Eukaryota; Metazoa; Arthropoda; Insecta; Diptera; Sciaridae
Source: RefSeq, a predicted model, not a curated record